AUACGGAGGGUGCAAGCGUUAAUCGGAAUUACUGGGCGUAAAGGGCGCGUAGGUGGUUCUGUAAGUCGGGUGUGAAAGCCCCGGGCUCAACCUGGGAAUUGCAUUCGAUACUGCAGGACUAGAGUAUGGUAGAGGAAAGCGGAAUUCCCGGUGUAGCGGUGAAAUGCGUAGAUAUCGGGAAGAACACCGGUGGCGAAGGCGACUUCCUGGAUCAAUACUGACACUGAGGUGCGAAAGCGUGGGUAGCAAACAGGAUUAGAUACCCCGGUAGUCC
RNAcentral lists this ribosomal RNA (274 nucleotides) under uncultured bacterium. Its description in RNAcentral is "partial 16S ribosomal RNA". It matches the Rfam family "Bacterial small subunit ribosomal RNA", at positions 523 to 796 of the family's 1533-position model. The record is from RNAcentral.